This 404-nucleotide ribosomal RNA is filed under the name bacterium enrichment culture clone ALO1_GLFRUDD03GW7D8. RNAcentral's name for it is "bacterial SSU rRNA". It matches the Rfam family "Bacterial small subunit ribosomal RNA", at positions 9 to 414 of the family's 1533-position model. The record is from RNAcentral.
GAGUUUGAUCUUGGCUCAGAUUGAACGCUGGCGGCAUGCCUUACACAUGCAAGUCGAACGGCAGCACGGGAGCUUGCUCCUGGUGGCGAGUGGCGAACGGGUGAGUAAUGCAUCGGAACGUAUCCUGGAGUGGGGGAUAACGUAGCGAAAGUUACGCUAACACCGCAUAUUCUGUGAGCAGGAAAGCGGGGGACCUUCGGGCCUCGCGCUCUUGGAGCGGCCGAUGUCGGAUUAGCUAGUUGGUGAGGUAAAGGCUCACCAAGGCGACGAUCCGUAGCAGGUCUGAGAGGAUGAUCUGCCACACUGGAACUGAGACACGGUCCAGACUCCUACGGGAGGCAGCAGUGGGAAUUUUGGACAAUGGGGGCAACCCUGAUCCAGCCAUGCCGCGUGAGUGAAGAAGG